CCGGGGAUUGCCUCAGUAACGGCGAGUGAAGCGGCAAAAGCUCAAAUUUGAAAUCUAGCACUUUCAGUGUUCGAGUUGUAAUUUGAAGAAGGUAACUUUGGUUUUGGCUCUUGUCUAUGUUCCUUGGAACAGGACGUCACAGAGGGUGAGAAUCCCGUGCGAUGAGAUGCCCAAUUCCAUGUAAAGUGCUUUCGAAGAGUCGAGUUGUUUGGGAAUGCAGCUCUAAGUGGGUGGUAAAUUCCAUCUAAAGCUAAAUAUUGGCGAGAGACCGAUAGCGAACAAGUACAGUGAUGGAAAGAUGAAAAGAACUUUGAAAAGAGAGUGAAAAAGUACGUGAAAUUGUUGAAAGGGAAGGGCUUGAGAUCAGACUUGGUAUUUUGCGUUCCCUUCCUUUUUGGUUGGGUUCCUCGCAGUUUACUGGGCCAGCAUCGGUUUGGAUGGUAGGAUAAUGACAUUGGAAUGUAGCUUUACUUCGGUGAAGUGUUAUAGACUUUGUUGAUACUGCCUAUCUAGACCGAGGACUGCGUCUUUGACUAGGAUGCUGGCGUAAUGAUCUUAAGCCGCCCGUCUUGAAACAGAGAGAAACA
RNAcentral lists this ribosomal RNA (587 nucleotides) under Dujonia zeylanoides. RNAcentral describes it as "[Candida] zeylanoides partial large subunit ribosomal RNA". It matches the Rfam family "Eukaryotic large subunit ribosomal RNA", at positions 68 to 664 of the family's 3401-position model. The record is from RNAcentral. Lineage: Eukaryota; Fungi; Ascomycota; Pichiomycetes; Serinales; Debaryomycetaceae.